GGAAUUGUACUUUAACAUAAAAGAUCUGAUUUGCAUUUAGACAAUAGGAUUUUUAUCCUUAAUUCCA
RNAcentral lists this transfer RNA (67 nucleotides) under Lirapex sp. ZZ-2022. RNAcentral's name for it is "tRNA-Ala". The record is from RNAcentral. Lineage: Eukaryota; Metazoa; Mollusca; Gastropoda; Neomphalida; Peltospiridae.